GCCGUACCUGGCCGCCGCGCGGUGCCUUCGGCGCGCGUCUAGAUACGCGCGUCUCGACGACCGGCGUCUCAGUGUCGUCGCGACGACCGACGUCGUACCCGUCGUUCCGGCGUCGACGUGCUCCUUCUUGCACGGUUGAUUCGCGAUCAAGCGUAAUUCACCGACCAUUCUUCGUUCCGACGCGUCUUCGUUCUCUCGCCAUCGCCAUUUUCGGCCAUUUUCUGCCUCGUUGAAAUAAUUAUUGUUAAGAAUAAGCAAAAAAACGCGUGGAUAAAUUAUCUAGUCGUAUACGUGGUAUAAAAUCGUUGUAUAAAAUCGAUCGUUGGAUCGAAAGGUUCGAUAUCGAUAGUGGAUCGAGAAGGGUAUAGUGGAUUGGCAGACGACCAGAGUGGAUCAGUGUCGUUCGAGCGAUCGACUCGGUGAAACGAUCGACCAUCACGGUGGGAGGAGAAACGCGUCUCGGUGAUCGGAUGCAGACUGAUUGGCUCCUUGGAGGAGGAUCAGCUGAUCGUGUGCUAGCUGGAAUAUAACGUGUCGAUCGUUUUAGUUGUUACAAGGUGGGAUCGUUCGUUCUCGAGGUGGUUGGCAUCGUUUAUUUUAUCAAGAUUUUUUCCCCCAAAACCCGUCCGAGGAUCGAAGAUUUCGCCGGGUAGAGAGAGUCUCGCCGGCGUCUCUCCCUCGAGGAAGCCAAUAAAUCCUCGAGAGAACGCAGACAACGAGGAGAGAAGAGAGAAACCCUUUACCUCUCUGCUUGCUCGAGCAUGCUAACGAGACGCAACCAGGAAGAGACUUAACCUCUC
Apis florea (little honeybee) is the source of this 800-nucleotide long non-coding RNA. The record is from RefSeq and is a predicted model, not a curated record. NCBI's taxonomy places the organism in Eukaryota, Metazoa, Arthropoda, Insecta, Hymenoptera, Apidae.